This 75-nucleotide transfer RNA is filed under the name Ahnfeltia fastigiata. RNAcentral's name for it is "tRNA-Ala". It matches the Rfam family "tRNA". Rfam says of the family: Transfer RNA (tRNA) molecules are approximately 80 nucleotides in length. Their secondary structure includes four short double-helical elements and three loops (D, anti-codon, and T loops). The record is from RNAcentral. Lineage: Eukaryota; Rhodophyta; Florideophyceae; Ahnfeltiales; Ahnfeltiaceae.
AGGGCUAUUAGCUCAGUUGGUAGAGCGCUGCCUUUGCAAGGCAGAUGUCAGCAGUUCAAGUCCGCUUAUCUCCAC